UUGUAGCAGGUAUCUUUUCCAGCUGCACUGAUGCGUCGCCAAAUGUUUACCCUAGGCCCAUAGCUGUUGCACGCUCUCUCGUUGCUGCACUUAGCUAUGCAAUUUUCUGAGCCACCGCCUGUAGAGUGGUGCUCUCCCUCUCCCUCUCUCAAGCUCCGAUUCUGGCUGUGUGCUCCGUAGCCUCUCUCUCUGUUUGGCAUACAAAAUGCACCUAAUUUUGGGCCUAACGACAACUUGUCGCUUGUCAUGGUCUCCCGGUCUGAUCUAUGUUGCUGUUGCAUUCGUUGUUGCUGUUGCUGUUGCUGCUGGUGGCAUGCCUCAUCAUCAUUUGCAACUGCUGGCGGCAGCAGCUGCCUCACUUGGGGAUCAACUGUUCAACUGUGCUUUAUCUGUACAGCUUUUAGCUGCGCCUCGUAAUCGCAGCUCAUAGAUCAAAAAGCGCCAGAGAACAACAGAAGAGCGAGACGUGUGGCUGCAUCUCUUUUCCUUAUGUGAACCAGGUCCAGUUCCCAUCAGGCACUCGAGAGGCAGUCCAGUCAGGCAGGGGUUGAUCACAUUCCAACGCACAGCUGCUGUCGUUCCAGCCAGUGCUGUGGCCAGUGCCCACCCACGCCAAUGGACAAAAAAAAAAAAAAAAGAAAACCAAACCGAGUUUGGGCCACGUUUUCCCACUGACCAAAUGACAGGAUUGCGGCCAUUCCCACAGUCCAUGCAACAUUUUCCAGCCAAUUCCGGCAAAUGCAAAUUAGCCAUCUCAUUUUCGCUCUGAUUAAAGGUAAUUUUCAAAUUUCCCCAACAACCCUCUGCGACACCGGGAACGGACAGCAACAACAGCAGGCCAGGCGGCAACUUUGGCACUGCCGGCAAUUUCGAUCUCGCCUGUCGUCCAUUUAAUGAUUUCAAAUCGGAGCAGCAGGCCCAGACCCAGACCCAGGCCCAGGCCCAGGCCCAGGCCCAAAACCAGAAACUUGUUGGAUGUCUGGUGGUGCACCAUGUUGCGCGACCGGACCGGACAAUGUCUAGGGGCCAUUCCUGUGUCUCUCUGGUUCCAGCUGUGGCCGCGGGAAAUAGGAAAAUUGCCGAAACUAAAACCAAAACGCGUGCGCAUUGAAUUAUGCAAAAAUUUUAACCAUUUGCCGCCAAUCAAUUUGUAUUGCCUACCAUCUGUGGGAUUUUCCCCGACAAACCAGCAUAAUAUUAGAACAAUGGAUGUGAUUGGUUGGCCCCUAAAUAUGCCAUUACAUAUCGGACAUCUUUAUCCUUAACUUACUUGGUAGCACGUGUAUAAUCGCGUGUGUCUCCAUUGCCGAUCUCAAACAUGAUUUUUAACGACAAAUUUACGCGCUUAAUCUCGACAACAAAAUAUGCAAAUGUGAGCGGGACGAGGCGGCGGCUCGAGUAGGAGGAUAAGCCAAGGAAAGGGUAAAGGAAAGAAAGAAGUUGUUUUUUUAACGAUUCGCCAUGUUCAUUAGUGCCGACACUUGAGUACACACUCAUACGAAGAGCCAGAGGACCCCCGACCAACAGACAACCGACUCUUUAAUGUUUAAGUGCGUUUCAUUAAUUGAAAUGGUCAAUUUGUAGUCGGAGAUAAGAGAGGAAGUUGCUGGCAGAAGUAGAAGCAGAAGCUGCAAGUGGCAGAUGCUGUUGAGGCAGUGGCAGUGGCAGUGGCAGUCCAUCCUCGGCUGUGGCUGUGGCUGUUAGGUUGCAUUGAUAUUUCCACGGAGGAGGAGUCGAUCGGCUUGCCGUUGCCCUAUAUGGUAAGAUUGUAAGAGGAGUUUGAUAGUUCUCUGGUUUGUGGCGCCAGCAGACUUCCAUUCAUCAGGCGGCGGUGACAGCGGCAUCUCGAAUGCAUAUUAAUAGGAAUUCCAUCCAGAACGAACUGGGAAUACUCUCCUAUGGAAUGUUGAUUGAUGAAUGUGUAUAAAAGAAAUAAUUAAAUAUGAAUUAAAUUAACGGCAGUCGAAAUUCUCUGUUAUCGAUACAUUGAUUGUCAUUCUUGGCCACAUCCGUUACAAACCUUAUGGAAAAGCUCAGUAAAUUAAAAUCUGUGAAGAGCAUGACACACAUGGGACCCAAGAAACAACAACUGUGUACAUCCACAAGUCAUGGUCAUGGCGACAAAAACAAAAACAACACAUCGCCCAACGUCCGCUUUGAGGUCAACUCGGGGUCGGGGUCGGGGUCGCUCAUUAAGCCAGACCCAGAGCCUGGUCCAACGUAUCAACUUACCCGAGCAGGAAGCAUUCGAUGCGACGACCAUUUCCAGUUCCAGUUCCUAGGCCCCAUCACAGGCCAAUUGAUUGACAAGACGAGAGUCCACAGCAUUUGUCUGCAAGAAAAGAAUGGGGAAUGGUAAUUGACAUAAGUAUCAAUGAAUUCAGGCGAGGGUCGAUACAUUUCAAUGCUCUUUGGUUGAGACUGAUGUAACCCCAUCGAACGACCCUCGGUGGUAUCCUAUCCGCUUACCACUUACAGCUCCCAUAACGACAGGAAACGAGAGCAACAAAAACUUGCCUCAAUAAGUUGCCACAGCGUUACAUGCGGCCUUACCUUACCCCUUUUUUUUGCCAUGCCCGAUGCGAUGCCAGAUGCGUAGUCCAAAAACUGUGGACAAGAGGGUUGGGACCCUGAACUUAGCAUCCAGUUUGACUGGAACUGGAAGCAAGUUAAUUGAAUUAAGGCUGUCCGCGAGUCACCCGUCCCCCAAUCUACUGGCCGGACUACGCUCCUGCGUUGAUUUAUGUGAACAGAUCUGGUAGGGUGGUGGUGGCUGACUGGCUGGGGCUACAAUUGACAAUUGCUCGACUCGGGUCGACUCUGAUCGGUUGGUUGACUCAAUGGAAUGCAGUCGGUGGUUGCAGCUGCAACGAGGCAGAGAGACGGAGAGCCAAAGAGCCAAAGAGCCAGAGAAACAGAGAGGAGUUGUUGCCGACUGCCACAUGCCAUGCCACAAAUGAAAUGCCUGGCAUUUCGUCUAGCUAUCGGGAAAGUGUGGUACUGGUACCUCCAGUGGUAACCAGCCAGUGUUGAGUAAGUCACUUAUUAAGUGUCAUCUCCAUGUCGCCAAAGGCGCCGCCUCGCGCCAAAAUGCAAAUGAUAAACUGACAGCCUUAUGACAGCAUUAAGCAAAUUGCUCGCCAGCCGCCCAGACGAUAAGCAGACAUCGGGGAUAUCGCCAUAGGAAUGGGCUCGCUCCGAAUGGAUGCAGAUGCAGAUGUGGCAUGGGGCAUGGGGAUGUGGCAGUGGCAGGCGCACAAGUCGAGUUAACGAUUGGCUUAAUAAAAUGAAAUAUUAAAUGCGAUUAAAAACGCAAAGACGACGACAACGACAACAGCGAAGACGACAACGUGGAAGGCGACGAUGCAAUAAAUAUAUUGGGAACAGGCCAAACAGCUACUGGACUUGUGUGUGGACACCAGACGCCGGACGUAGUAGCACAAUUCCAGCUCCAACUCCAGCUCCAAUUCGAGUUUGGGCUCGGGUCGGGGUUGGGGUUGCCCCUCUCCGAAAGACAUGAUAAAAAUGUGAAAUGCAUGCGUUCAUUAAAUUAAUGCGCAUGGGGCAAGGCAAGCAGCCAUGGAGCCUGAGUCUGAGCCUGAGCAGAUAAUUAAAUGCGUGUUUGUGGCAUGGUCAGUGGGCAAUGGGGCAAGGUGCUCGUAAUGACAUUAAAUAUGUUUAAACAUGCAUAAAUAAAAGGAGGCCGGAGACCCCGAUCCCAACCCGAACAACUUUACUUUAAGCUGAUGUUUUAAUCAGGGCGAUUCUUAGACUGCAUCAGCAGCAGCCAUAACAGCAGGAGAGAGACGAGACGAGACUCGAUCCCGACCCAUUGGGGCCUAAGCUUGUUGCAACAACUGGUUGAAUUAAUGACGCAACACGAGC
Molecule: small RNA, 3885 nt
Filed under: Drosophila pseudoobscura pseudoobscura
Lineage: Eukaryota; Metazoa; Arthropoda; Insecta; Diptera; Drosophilidae
Description: GA31688
Source: RNAcentral